RNAcentral lists this long non-coding RNA (7778 nucleotides) under Cucumis sativus (cucumber). RNAcentral's name for it is "long non-coding RNA (CSAT_LNC002723)". The record is from RNAcentral. Lineage: Eukaryota; Viridiplantae; Streptophyta; Magnoliopsida; Cucurbitales; Cucurbitaceae.
GAUCCACUUUUCUUCCUCAAUCGCUCAAUUUUGUUCCUUACGAGGAUAACCAGAGGUGUAAAGACCUUGAUUUCAUCCAUCUCCUUGAUCGACAAACAACCAAUUAAGGGAUAACCUUCAGAGCUUCCUUUUCCUGACUCAGUUCUUCCAACCACCGAAUUUGGCCUUACCAAUCUAGGUGCAGACCCCGAUGCCUCAUCCAAAUUAAGUGGUAACGCCCCUUAGCGUUAAAGAGUGAGAACCUUACGUACUAACUCCUUAAACACAAGAUGGGAUGACACGGCUUGCACGUCACACAAGUUUACAUAAUAACCCACAUUUCCCUCAUUUACUUGGCUUUUACGCCUGACAUCCAUUUCUUACUUGGCUUUUACGCCUGACAUCCAUUUUUCACUUGGCUUCUACGCCUGACAUCCAUUUCUUACUUAGCUUCAAUGCCCUUGAAGAUCUGGGGAGAAAAAACUUAAAACGUAAGUUAAAGACUUAAUGAGUGAUGAGUUUAGAAAAUGUCUGUCGCCACGUGCUCGAGACGACGCAGAGCGGUCGACGUCCUCAAAAGAAUUUUUUUUUAAAUUUUCUGUGAAAAUAGGAGUCGCCACCAAUCCUUUUUUUUAAGGUGUGAUUGGACACCAAAAUAAAGUAAAUAAGUUUUAUUUCAAAAAUUGUCUGUAAAAAAUAGAGUUGGGUUCGAGAGUCAUUUGUGUAUAGGGAAGGUAUUAGCACCUUGUAACACUUGUUUAGAAAACAGUGGCCAAACUUAAAGUCUUGAAUAAAAUUUAUUAAAUUUUUUUUAUGUCUUAUUUUCUUGCUCAUCACCCUCAUAUUUAAAGCAAUGAUCCCAUCAAAUAAGCGGAAUAAUAUUCCAUUAAUUAGACUAUAUUGAGAAAAAUUUUCCAUCUCAAGAAAAUGAAAAAUUAUUACAAUUUCUCAAAAACUAUCAUAGGAUAGUCUUCGAAUAAUUUUUUUUAAAAAAAUUGACCAAAAUCAUUUUUUAUUGGGAUCAAAUCUUGGACUCCCAUAGAUAUCAACCUCUCACCUCCAGAAUCUAGAAAUAACGGACUCCCAGAAAGUUCUAGAUUUCGUCUUAGGAUCUUUUAGCAAAAUAGGAAUGAGUUAUUAAAAAAAAGUUGAUUAGGAAAACUUAUGGAAUAUAGAUUUUUUUAAAGAAAAUUUAAAAGGAUAGUUUUAAAGUAAAAAUUUCUAAACAGUUAAAAAAGAAAAUUUAAGAAAGACUUCAAAUUUAGGGUCAAUAUGAAAUAAUGCACAAAUGAAAUCAAAUAUAUCACACUAUGGAUUAAGCAACCAAAAUAAGAUUUUAUUUUUUUAAAAGUAUUGGAAAUUGAUCUUGGACUCCCAAAUAACCGAUUCCCUCACCUCAAGAAUUUAGAGAUAACGGGCUCCCAGAUAUUUCUAAUUCCAUCGUCGAUUUUUUUUCUCUUCAGAAUGAUAAAAUGUAAAGAUAAAUAUGAUAUAAGAAGAAAAAAAUAAUUGAUAUAAAAUAUCAUGGUAACAUUGCAAAGUGUAAAAAAAAUUCAUAAAUUUAAUACUACAUGAUAAUAAUUAUUAUGCAUGCAAGGAAAAUAAAUUAAAAUAAAUAAAAGAAAAAUAGAAACGGUAGAUAACGAAAAUGAAUAAAUAAAGAAAUAAUAAUAAAUAAAAGAAAUAAAUAAAUAAAUAAAAGAAAUAAAUAAAUAAAUAAAUACUAAAAAGGAAAGAAAAAAUAAAGAAAUGAAAGAAAUGAAAGUAAGAAGAAAUAAAAGAAAAAGAUUUUUUUAUAAAAAAAAUAGAGGGGUGGCGGCCGCAACUUGCCGCAGCCCAUAAUAAUAAUAAUAAAUAGUAAUUAUAUAAAUAAAUUAAGUUUUAAGUAUAUAUAAAAAGCAAUAGUUAUAAUAACAAAGUUAAAAGAAAACAGAAGUUUAAAAAAAACAGUAAUAAAAAAACGUUAAUAACAAAUAAUAUAUAUAUUAUUAUCAAUAAGUAAAUAAAAUUUAAAUAUAAAUACAUAAUUUUUUUAUAUAUAUGUUUCUAAAGAGAAUAAAAUAUUUUUAAAGAGAAUAAAGUAAAUAUCAAGAAUAAGACUUGUCUCUUUUUCUUUUUCUCUAUUUUUUAGGAAGAUUAAAGUACAAAAUAACUCAUGUGAAUUCGUGAGUAGCAUUAGUUUCUGCAAGGUUUGUCACAAAUUUGAUACGCAUUGAUACGAUCCUUUUAAAACAGGGCAAAGAGGUAUAAGCGUGAAUAAACAAAAAUCGGAGGAAACUGUUGCUAUUUUUAUGCAUAGUACUUCUUCACAAAAUCUGCACUUAAUGGGUUAGGAAAAUCAUUCUCAUCCAUGCUUGUGAGGAUUAAAGCUCCACCAGAGAAUACCUUUUUUUACUACAUAUGGUCUCUCAUAAUUAGGAGUCCACUUUCCUCUAUGAUUUUUUUGAAAUGGCAGGAUCCUUUUCAAGACCAAAUCCCCUUCCUGAAAACAACGUUGUUGAACUUUCCUAUCGUAUGCACGAGUCAUUUUCUUAUGAUAAAGUUGUCCUCUACACAACACGGUCAACCUUUUCUCUUCUAUGAGGUUUAAUUCCUCGUACCUCGUCUGUGUCCAUUCAGCCUCUUCUAGUUCUGCUUCUUUGAUUACCCUAAGGGAUGACACCUCGACCUCAAUAGGCAAAACAGCUUCCACGCCAUACACCAAAGAGAAAGGAGUUGCCCCAGUUGAUGUGCGAACUGACGUUCGGUAACCGUGUAAUGCAAAUGGUAACAUCUUAUGCCAAUCUUUAUAUGUGACAAUCAUCUUUUCAAUAAACCCUAAACCCUGGACUUGAGAUUCACUUUCACCAACGUCUCGUGAUUUUUCUGGGAUUUCCACCAACACCUCGUAAUACUCAUUUCUUUCUUAGACCUGAGGUUCACUUUCACCAUCAUCAUCUUAAGCCAAACGUUAGUUACGAAUAGACAUUUUCCUUAAGACAUCAACCUUAAUUAUCUUCUUGGAAAGCCAAACUUCUUAUCGCCUGACUCUCUUCUCGAAAAGUCACAAAACAUUUACUUCGCCCCAGAGGGCUGUCCAAUCACCUCAUACGAACAUCAAACUUUUCAACUGAGCAUCUACCUCAUCAUGACCAUACCUAGGUGUAGGCACUUCUCCUCGCGUCACUACACCCAACACCUAGUUCUUCACAUAUAAUCGCGUGCUCCUUCCUUGCCAAAUAAUUCUCAUCGUGUUGCUUACUUUAAUGUGGUGGCACUUAAGCCCAAAUACUUCUUUUAGCAUCACCCUUUCUCCUAUCGCUUUCUUCUUCGCAAAAUACCUCUUCAACAAGACUCCCUUUUGGAUUCGAGUCUCACAAGAACAAUAAGUUAAGUUAGGUAGGGAGUGAUCAUAAGAGCAAACUUUAGAUACCAAUUUCCAUAUAAAAAAAAAUACAAGUUAGACAAUUAAAUACAUGAAAAUAUAGAACAAACAGAACCAAUAUGUAUUUAAAUCUCAAGACAAACUAUGAAAAUCUAAGGAAAAACGAGAAAAAAUCUCAACCAAGAUUGUAUUUUACACGAACAACUCACGACAUUAGCAUUGGGUGCCACAAGAUUGAGGUUUUUGACUUCAUUUUUGUUUAAAAUCUCGAGACAUUCUUGGUCCACAUAUAUCCAAAAAUUAAACAUAUAAUGGCACUAAAACCUCAUGCGUCAACUAAAUCUCGAGACACCUACAUUAAAUUUCGACUCAUAUUUAUAUAUUCUCGAUUAAGAUUCUACCAAAAUUCAAGCGUGAAGUGCAGAUAUAUUGAGAAAAUCCCCUAAGUGAAACUUCAAAGUCGAGAUUUCUUAGAUAUAAAAAAUAACUUAUACAAACCAUAAGAUUCCAUAUCAAAACUACUAUGUCAAAAUUAAACACAACAAACGGUGAAAUAAUGUUGUAAAACAAAGCUUAACGUAGAGGAUAAACAUUUGAAGGUCGCAAAUCACAGGGAACAAAUUUGAUUUUCGAAAGAAUUUCACGGAGAACUUGGAAGAAGUGAGAACCCAGAUUGAAGAAGGUAAGAUAAAAGGUUUUUCAAACAUAGGUAAUUUUGUCAUUUCACAUUACUUGUAUUUGAAUCUCCAACGUCUAAAUUAAAAUCUCGAGUCCAAUCUCGAUUGAGAUUAGUCGAGAAGAAAGCAUACAAAUAUCAUUUUAAAAAGAGAGCUAUUUGUGAAAAGUGAACCAAAAAAGGUUGUUUUAGAUCAUUUCUCUAUCAAUGGUUAUCUUAACUAUGCUUCCCCACUUAAGGGACGUAUUGAUACAUAUUUUAGCAUUUGACAUUUUUUAUUUUUUUCAUUAUUUGCUACCGUGCUUACUAUUUUCUUAUCAUACAAAAAUAAUUUCACACCAAAUACCUAUUAUUUAAUCCAAAGUAAAAUAAUCUAUAUACUACAAAUUAUUGAAUAAUUAAAGUAUAAGAAGGUAGAAAUAUGAAAGAGCCCAUUAGAGUGCAAAGAAAACGGGAAACAACCAACAAAAUCAGCGGUCCAAACCUCUACCGCCCUCGUUCUUCCUUGUGCUGCAUUUCAAUUUAUAAUCUCUUCCAUGGCGCCUGUGACUGAUCGAGCCACAGGCGCCAUUAUUGCCGCCAUCUCUGUUUCUGUAGUCCUCUUCUCUUACCUUCUUAUUAAACAUCAUCCCAAGGAACGCUCCAGGAAUAACACAAAACCCUUCUCUGUACCGAAGAGAAGUCCAAAAAAUGGGGUUGUAGGCGCCAUUGGCAACACCCCUUUGAUACGGAUUAACAGCCUCUCUGAGGCCACCGGUUGUGAGGCAACUUCCCGUUUCUCUAUUUUUCUCUGUUUUCAGAUUUCUUGUUCAACUUAUGGGCUUCUUGUUCUUGAUAAUUUGUUGCUCAUUAAGUGCCUGUGUCAUGUAUCGUGUCUUAUCGGUUGAUUUGAUGUUUUGCUUCGGAUUUUUAGAUUCUGGGGAAGUGUGAGUUCUUGAAUCCUGGUGGGAGUGUAAAGGAUAGAGUUGCAGUUAAGGUAAUUGAAGAGGUGAGUUAAUUUUCUUUUCUUGAUGCAUCUUCUGGAUUCACUGUUGCGUUAAUUUGAUUAAUAAUGUUGAUUUUGUUGAAAUAUUGUUGAGUCGUUUUUUGUUCUUUGGAAACAGCUCGGUAGAAACUUAAAGAAUUCUAAUUGGAUUCGGUAUAGUAUAGGCUUCUUUAUCUCAACAGACCAAUUAUAUCUGUAAAUUGCAAAGUGAGAUUGAAAUUUGUCAUAUUUAACCUAGAAUCCCAUCCAUCAGUGCCUUAUCCACUUAUUUUUCAAUAAGAUCACUCGUCAAGUCCUUCAAAAAUGAAAAAAAUAAAAGAGGUGGGAGGGCGUACCUUGUCUUAAAUUCUUAAAGCUUUGACUCCGUCGAUAAGGAAGAUUGAAGAUAUAGUAUCUUAAAUGUAACCAUUGAUCUAGAGGUGGGAGGGGCUACCUUGGAAAUUAAUGUGUUGCACAACACCAUAUUUUAAUUGCAGCACAAUCAUGUGUUACCCCAUAUUAAUCCCUUACUUUCAACAUAUAAUGUGAGCUUGUUAAAUUAAAAACGCAACAAGUCAGGAGGAUGGCAUCCUCACAGGCCGUUAUGGAAAGGAAAUUCAUCAUGCUGUUGUAGACAUUCUAAUAUGAGGUUUUCCUUGUAGGCCUUAGAAUCUGGUAAGCUGGUUGAGGGUGGUGUAGUUACUGAGGGAAGCGCUGGAAGCACUGCUAUAAGUCUUGCUACAGUUGCUCCAGCUUAUGGUUGCAAAUGCCAUGUGGUUAUUCCAGAUGACGCUGCUAUUGAAAAAGUAUGUAUUGUAUUUUUGGACUUCAUUCCUGCAGUUCUUUACAAAAUAGAUAUUUCAAUUUCAUUGAAAUACCCAUUACAUUUGUAUUAAUUUUUUCUUUUUUGAAUAACAGUCUCAAAUACUUGAAGCACUUGGAGCUCAUGUUGAAAGGGUAAGACCAGUGUCAAUUACACACAGAGAUCAUUAUGUUAACAUUGCUAGAAGGAGAGCAGCACAAGCCAAUGAGCUAGCUUUGAAGCGAAAAACUGAAGAGCAACUAUGUGUGGGAGACUUGGAACAAAUUAAUGGUCACAUUUAUGGGGGAGAAACCCAAGAUUCUUUCUUAAGUAAUUGCGAAGGUGGCUUCUUUGCUGAUCAAUUUGAAAACUUGGCAAAUUAUCGAGCUCAUUAUGAGGGUACGGGACCAGAGAUUUGGGAACAAACUGGUGGGCACAUCGAUGCCUUUGUUGCAGCUGCAGGAACCGGUGGUACUGUGGCCGGUGUUUCCAGGUUUCUCCAGGUAAACUCUGCAUUCCUUAUCCUUCCAAAUCUGUGUGUAUAGUUUUCUGAGGCAAUUGUGCAACUUCUCUUCCACUUCUUCAACAGGAGAAGAAUCCAAAUGUUAAGUGUUUCCUCAUAGAUCCACCCGGUUCUGGCCUGUUCAACAAGGUGACUAGAGGAGUUAUGUACGCCAAAGAGGAGGCUGAAGGACGAAGAUUAAAGAAUCCUUUUGACACAAUAACUGAAGGAAUUGGAAUCAAUAGAUUAACGCAGAAUUUCUUGAUGGCAAAACUUGACGGGGCAUUUUGUGGAACAGACAGGGAAGCUGUUGAAAUGUCAAGGUUAGUGGCCAAACCAUUGUAGAACUAAUUUCUUGAUGGUAUCAUCUCCCUUUCUCUACUGAUGCAACUAUCUGUUUUUUUUGGUUUAUUGAGGUUAUUGAGACCUUGUUACUUUUGACCCAAUUAUAGUUGUGUUAAUGUGGAAUGAUCAAAGUUUAGAGGAUCAAUGAAAACUAACCUCUCCUGCUUACGCCACAAAAGACUCAACCGCUUGGACUUUAUUCUCUCGACUGUGCCUUCUCUCCCAUCAUGAAAUAUUCGGAUCCCUAAGAUGAGUUUUUGAAAGUUCUCCUGUUUGUCAGUCAUGGUUCUGUAAAGAAUGGUUUUUUUUUAGAAAUUUCGUUUGACUUUAUAAUCGGGAUCCACUAUAAUUUCACUGUGGUUUGUCACCGGGACUGCAAUUGUCAAACGAGUGGAUUUUUUAAAAACAUCCUGAUACAAAAAGCACUACGUUAGGGAUUCGAAUAUUUCACGAAGUUCCAAACGAUUGAAUGCUCUAUGACUUAAGUAGAAUGUUUUCUUUUAAUUCUAUAAUUAGAUCAUGAAGGAUCAUAAAUGUUAAUUUUUAUUGAUUUCUAAUAUUUGAUGAUUCAGCAUCAAUGGAUUUGAGAUUGGGACAUCCACACAAAAAUCUCGUUAUUAUAUAUAUAGAGCAUGCUGUUUGUAUUCUCACAUUUACUUUCUCCAUAGCUUUAAUCUUCAUGUUCAAUUUUAGCAACGCUAAUCGAUCUUCUUGCAACGUUAUAAACCAGAUAUCUGCUGAGGAAUGAUGGGCUCUUUCUCGGGAGCUCUUCAGCCAUGAAUUGUGUUGGAGCUGUGAAAUUGGCCCAAUCAAUUGGCCCCGGAAAAACCAUUGUCACCAUUCUUUGCGACAAUGGAAUGAGGCAUCUGAGCAAAUUUUUCAGUUCAGAGUAUCUGAGUCAAUACAAUCUGACGCCCAAGGCUACUGGCUUAGAAUUCCUCGAAUCCAGGUGAAAUGGUAGAGCUAUGAGUCUCAGAAUGUCGUGUUAAAGAGUAUGGAGGUUUGCGUCAUCAUGAUAUGCAACUGAAUAUAGAGAAUUAACAGCACAUCAUAUUUGAAGGUCUUGAAGUAACUAAACUGUUGUAGAAUGUUGGAUACGAGUAAUUCAUCGAGAUAUUCAAUUUUGUAAGACUUAAGACAUUGUUG